UACGGAGGGUGCAAGCGUUAUCCGGAUUCACUGGGUUUAAAGGGUGCGUAGGUGGGCUGGUAAGUCAGUGGUGAAAUCCCCGAGCUUAACUUGGGAACUGCCAUUGAUACUAUCAGUCUUGAAUACCGUGGAGGUCAGCGGAAUAUGUCAUGUAGCGGUGAAAUGCUUAGAUAUGACAUAGAACACCAAUUGCGAAGGCAGCUGACUACACGAAUAUUGACACUGAGGCACGAAAGCGUGGGGAUCAAACAGG
RNAcentral lists this ribosomal RNA (253 nucleotides) under uncultured bacterium. Its description in RNAcentral is "partial 16S ribosomal RNA". It matches the Rfam family "Bacterial small subunit ribosomal RNA", at positions 524 to 776 of the family's 1533-position model. The record is from RNAcentral.